UCGAACGCUUCUUUCCUCCCGAGUGCUUGCACUCAAUUGGAAAGAGGAGUGGCGGACGGGUGAGUAACACGUGGGUAACCUACCCAUCAGAGGGGGAUAACACUUGGAAACAGGUGCUAAUACCGCAUAACAGUUUAUGCCGCAUGGCAUAAGAGUGAAAGGCGCUUUCGGGUGUCGCUGAUGGAUGGACCCGCGGUGCAUUAGCUAGUUGGUGAGGUAACGGCUCACCAAGGCCACGAUGCAUAGCCGACCUGAGAGGGUGAUCGGCCACACUGGGACUGAGACACGGCCCAGACUCCUACGGGAGGCAGCAGUAGGGAAUCUUCGGCAAUGGACGAAAGUCUGACCGAGCAACGCCGCGUGAGUGAAGAAGGUUUUCGGAUCGUAAAACUCUGUUGUUAGAGAAGAACAAGGACGUUAGUAACUGAACGUCCCCUGACGGUAUCUAACCAGAAAGCCACGGCUAACUACGUGCCAGCAGCCGCGGUAAUACGUAGGUGGCAAGCGUUGUCCGGAUUUAUUGGGCGUAAAGCGAGCGCAGGCGGUUUCUUAAGUCUGAUGUGAAAGCCCCCGGCUCAACCGGGGAGGGUCAUUGGAAACUGGGAGACUUGAGUGCAGAAGAGGAGAGUGGAAUUCCAUGUGUAGCGGUGAAAUGCGUAGAUAUAUGGAGGAACACCAGUGGCGAAGGCGGCUCUCUGGUCUGUAACUGACGCUGAGGCUCGAAAGCGUGG
RNAcentral lists this ribosomal RNA (731 nucleotides) under uncultured Bacilli bacterium. Its description in RNAcentral is "bacterial SSU rRNA". It matches the Rfam family "Bacterial small subunit ribosomal RNA", at positions 62 to 764 of the family's 1533-position model. Lineage: Bacteria; Bacillati; Bacillota; Bacilli. The record is from RNAcentral.